RNAcentral lists this ribosomal RNA (1109 nucleotides) under Flavobacterium johnsoniae. RNAcentral's name for it is "bacterial SSU rRNA". It matches the Rfam family "Bacterial small subunit ribosomal RNA", at positions 189 to 1307 of the family's 1533-position model. The record is from RNAcentral. Lineage: Bacteria; Pseudomonadati; Bacteroidota; Flavobacteriia; Flavobacteriales; Flavobacteriaceae.
AUCAUUCUGUAAUUAAAGUCACAACGGUGAAAGAUGAGCAUGCGUCCCAUUAGCUAGUUGGUAAGGUAACGGCUUACCAAGGCUACGAUGGGUAGGGGUCCUGAGAGGGAGAUCCCCCACACUGGUACUGAGACACGGACCAGACUCCUACGGGAGGCAGCAGUGAGGAAUAUUGGUCAAUGGACGCAAGUCUGAACCAGCCAUGCCGCGUGCAGGAUGACGGUCCUAUGGAUUGUAAACUGCUUUUGCACAGGAAGAAACACUCCGACGUGUCGGAGCUUGACGGUACUGUGAGAAUAAGGAUCGGCUAACUCCGUGCCAGCAGCCGCGGUAAUACGGAGGAUCCAAGCGUUAUCCGGAAUCAUUGGGUUUAAAGGGUCCGUAGGCGGUCUUUGUAAGUCAGUGGUGAAAGCCCAUCGCUCAACGGUGGAACGGCCAUUGAUACUGCAGGACUUGAAUUAUUGGGAAGUAACUAGAAUAUGUAGUGUAGCGGUGAAAUGCUUAGAGAUUACAUGGAAUACCAAUUGCGAAGGCAGGUUACUACCAAUGGAUUGACGCUGAUGGACGAAAGCGUGGGUAGCGAACAGGAUUAGAUACCCUGGUAGUCCACGCCGUAAACGAUGGAUACUAGCUGUUGGGAGCAAUCUCAGUGGCUAAGCGAAAGUGAUAAGUAUCCCACCUGGGGAGUACGAACGCAAGUUUGAAACUCAAAGGAAUUGACGGGGGCCCGCACAAGCGGUGGAGCAUGUGGUUUAAUUCGAUAUACGCGAGGAACCUUACCAAGGCUUAAAUGCAGACUGACCGAUUUGGAAACAGAUCUUUCGCAAGACAGUUUACAAGGUGCUGCAUGGUUGUCGUCAGCUCGUGCCGUGAGGUGUCAGGUUAAGUCCUAUAACGAGCGCAACCCCUGUUGUUAGUUGCCAGCGAGUCAAGUCGGGAACUCUAACAAGACUGCCAGUGCAAACUGUGAGGAAGGUGGGGAUGACGUCAAAUCAUCACGGCCCUUACGCCUUGGGCUACACACGUGCUACAAUGGCCGGUACAGAGAGCAGCCACUGGGCGACCAGGAGCGAAUCUACAAAGCCGGUCACAGUUCGGAUCGGAGUUUG